Molecule: ribosomal RNA, 999 nt
Filed under: Triticum aestivum (bread wheat)
Lineage: Eukaryota; Viridiplantae; Streptophyta; Magnoliopsida; Poales; Poaceae
Description: partial small subunit ribosomal RNA
Source: RNAcentral
AUGUCCAGGGAGCGGCGGGUGCCGCUCGUCCUGGCCCUGGCGGCGGCGGCGGUGGUGGGUGCCCUCGCGGUUGCGGAGGCGGAGCUGCAGGUCGGGUUCUACAAUGCGACGUGCCCGAUCGCGGAGGGCGUGGUGUUCGCGGAGAUGCACGCCAUCCUGCACGAGGACCCCACGCUCGCGCCCUCCCUGCUCCGGAUGCACUACCACGACUGCUUCGUCCAGGGCUGCGACGGCUCCAUCAUGCUCAGGUCCAGGCGGGGCACGGCGGAGCGGGACGCCACCCCGAACCGGAGCAUGCGCGGCUACGACGCCAUCGAGAGGAUCAAGGCCAAGCUCGAGAUGCUCUGCCCGCUCACCGUCUCCUGCGCCGACAUCAUCGCCAUGGCCGCCAGGGACGCCGUUUACCUGAGCAAGGGGCCGUGGUACGGCGUGGAGACCGGGCGGCGGGACGGCAAUGUGACGGUGGCCGAGUACGCGGAGAACGACCUGGCGCCGCCGGACUCCAACAUCGUCGACGUCAAGACCUUCUUCAGCGUCAAGUCCCUCACCGCCAAGGACAUCGUCGUCCUCUUCGGGAGCCACAGCAUCGGGACCUCCCACUGCGAGGCGUUCCAGAAGCGACUCUACAACUUCACGGGCGCCAUGGACCAGGACCCGUCGCUGGGCGCCCGGUACGCGAGGCAGCUGAGGAAGCUCUGCCCGCGCCGCCACGGCGGCCGGGGCAGGAGGACCAAGGUGCCCAUGGACCCCGGCAGCGGCUUCACCUUCGACCUCAGUUACUACCGCCACGUGCUGGCCACGGGGGGGCUCUUCCAGUCCGACGGCAGCCUGCUCCACGACGCCGCCACCAGGGACUACGUCGAGAGGAUGGCCAACGCGUCGUCGCCGGACGAGUACUACCAGGACUUCGCGGCGGCCAUGGUCAAGAUGGGCCGCACCGACGUGCUCCCCGACCACCUCGGUGAGGUCAGGGCGACCUGCGGCGUUUUUGUUGACUAG